RNAcentral lists this long non-coding RNA (5436 nucleotides) under Gossypium barbadense (sea-island cotton). RNAcentral describes it as "long non-coding RNA (GBAR_LNC008789)". The record is from RNAcentral. Lineage: Eukaryota; Viridiplantae; Streptophyta; Magnoliopsida; Malvales; Malvaceae.
AACAAAUUCUAAUAUUAUUUCUUCUCUUCCUUCAUUUUCUAAUAUUAUUAGAUUAUUCUAUAAAGUAUUGCUGCAGAAAUCCUUUGUAGAAAUUGAGUUUUUGUUAUACAUUACUCAGUGCAUAGUGGACUAUUCUCGUCAGUGCAAAACGCAAAUAGUCAUUGGCUUCAUUGUAUCCUCGAGGUUAAUUUGCUUGGAACUCGUUUGCACACUGAAGAUAAGUGGGGGCGAAUAUAACCUUAAAGAUAGUGGCUUGAUACACGCCUUGGAGCCUGUCCUAUUUCUUCUUUUUCUUUUCGAGUUCCGAUCGUGUGUUCGAGUUUUUUCCUUACCGGAGUUUUGUACUAACAAUUUUAAGGUUAUAUUUCAUGAUGACUACCACAACACAUGAAAGUGGAACACUAAGGGAGUUGGCUUCCAACUUUGUUAAACUUGAUCGUUUUGAUGGUGGCAAUUUUCGACGAUGGCAGAAAAAGAUGCACUUUUUGUUAUCAACUUUGAAGAUUGCUUAUGUUUUGGAUACUCCAAGACCCGAAGAGAAUGAAAAUGAAUCUGUUGCUGCAACCCGAGAAAGACAAAAAUGGGACAAUGCUGAUUACAUGUGCAUGGGCCACAUAUUGAAUGGUUUAUCUGAUGGUUUGUUCGACACCUACCAAAACGACGUCACCGCUAAAGAAUUAUGGGAUAAAUUGGAGGCAAGAUACAUGACCGAAGAUGUUACAAGUAAGAAAUUUCUUGUCAUUCGUUUCAAUAAUUAUCAAAUGGUUGAUGGUCGUUCUGUUAUGGAACAAUUUCGUGAUAUUGAAAAGAUGCUGAAUCAAUUUAAGCAAUAUGAUAUGAAAAUGGAUGAAAUGAUUGUGGUAUCCUCCAUAAUAGACAAACUUCCUCCAUCUUGGAAAGACUUUAAAAGAAGUCUAAAACAUAAGAAAGAGGAAAUAUCUCUUGAGGCUUUGGCAAAUCAUCUUCGUAUUGAAGAAGAGUAUCGAAAACAAGAUCAGAACCUAAAUUCUGAAAAUGCCAAAGUACAUGUUACGGAGGAAGUACAGACUACUAAACCAUUCAAGAGAAAGUUCAAUCAGACUGAUAGAGCACCUAAGUUCAAAAAGAAACAAAAGGGCUCAUGCUAUCAUUGUGGAAAGCCGGGACAUUUCAAGAAUGAAUGUCGAUUUUUAAAGAAGAAAUCAUCUUCUAAGGCUGAUAAUAACGAAAAGUUCGUUGCAAUGAUAUCUGAAAUUAAUAUGGCACAAGAUGAUAAUACAUGGUGGAUUGAUACCGGAGCAACCAAACAUGUGUGCAAAGACAAAAGCAUGUUCACAAAGUUCACACAAUGUGAAAAUGACAAUGUCUUGUACAUGGGAAAUUCUUCCACCGCAACAAUUAAAGGCAAAGGGUCUGUUGAACUAAAAUUCACUUUUGGAAAGGUUUUAACCUUAAAUGAUGUAUAUUAUGUACCAGAAGUUAGGAAAAAUUUAGUGUCUGGAAGUCUGUUGAAUAAGUUUGGUUUCAAACUUUUUUUGAGGCAGAUAAGUUUAUUUUGUCUAAGGGAGGAAUUUUUGUGGGAAAAGGGUAUAUGUAUGAAAGCAUGUUCAAACUUAAUAUUAUUAAUAAGAAUAAAAAUACUAUUUCUGCUUAUAUGGUUGAAUCAUUUUGUUUGUGGCAUUAUAGAUUAGGUCAUUUGAAUUAUAGAAAAUUGAAUGACAUGUAUAAAUUAGAUUUAAUUCCUGUUUUUAAUAAUAAUAUUGAAAAAUGCAAUACCUGUAUGUUGACUAAAAUUACAAGAAAUCCUUUCCCUAAGGUUAAAAGGAAAACGAAAUUGCUUGAUUUGAUACAUAGUGAUUUAUGUGACUUGCAUAAUACUCCUACAUUAGGUGGAAAGAAAUAUUUUGUUACUUUUAUUGAUGAUUGUUCUAGAUAUUGUUAUGUAUAUUUAUUGCAUUCAAAAGAUGAAGCGCUUGAUAAAUUUAAAGUUUAUAAAUCUGAAGUUGAACUUUAGUGUGAAUCAUUUAUCAAGUGCUUAAGAUCGGAUAGAGGUGGAGAAUACUAUAAUCCAAGUUAUUUUGAACUCACUGGAAUUGUCCAUCAAGUUUCAACCCCUUACACACCACAACAAAAUGGUGUAGCUGAAAGGAAAAAUAGAGUCUUGAUUGAAAUGGUAAAUUCAAUGUUAUCAUAUUCAGGUUUUGGACAGGGUUUUUGGGGAGAAGCUGUUCUAACAGCUUGUCAUAUAUUGAAUAGAGUUCCUAAUAAGGAAACUAAAAUAACCCCCUAUGAACAAUGGAAGAAAAGGAAACCAAACCUUAAUUAUUUAAAGGUUUGGGGUUGUAGAGCUAUUGUAAAAGUUCCAACACCUAAACGUAAAAAGUUAGGUGAAAGAGGAAUUGAAUGCAUAUUUAUAGGUUAUGCACAUAAUAGCAAGGCAUAUAGGUUCAUAGUAAUUGAACCAAAUGAUUCAAUUUCAAUUAAUACGGUUAUUGAAUCAAGAGAUGCUAUUUUUGAUGAAAAUAGAUUUAAUUCUAUAUCAAGACAAUUACAACCACAACAAUUGAUUCAUUCUUCAAAUGAGAAUGAGAUUCCAUUGAAACAAAUUGAUAAUAAUGAUGAAUCUUGUCAAGAAUUAAGAAGAAGUAAGAGGAUUAAAAAGGUCAAAGAUUUUAGACCAGAUUUCAUUAUGUUUCUUGUAGAAGGAAAAGGUGAAAGUAUAUGCAAUAAGAUACCUUAUUGUUAUAAUACCGAAUCUGAUCCUAUUACAUUUGAAGAAGCAGUGAAAUCUCAAGACUCUGCUUUUUGGAAAGAAGCAAUAAAUGAUGAAAUGGAUUCAAUAAUGGGAAAUCAAACUUGGAUCUUAGUUGAUCUUCCACCAGGUUCCAAACCAAUAGGUUGUAAAUGGAUCUUCAAAAAGAAAAUGAAGGUCGAUGGAACCAUUGAUAAAUUUAAAGCAAGGUUGGUAGCAAAAGGUUUUACACAAAGACAAGGUAUUGAUUACUUUGAUACCUAUGCUCCAGUAGUAAGAAUUGCUACAAUUAGACUAUUAAUAUCACUUACCUCUAUAUAUAAUUUGGUUGUUCACCAAAUGGAUGUUAAAACUGCAUUUUUAAAUGGUGAAUUGGAAGAGGAAGUGUACAUGGAGCAACCGGAAGGAUUUGUUGUUCCAGGACAAGAGCAUAAGGUAUGUAAGCUUGUUAAAUCUUUAUAUGGGCUUAAACAAGCACCAAAACAAUGGCACCAAAAGUUUGACAAGGUUGUUUUAGCUAAUGGCUAUAAAAUAAAUGAAUCCGAUAAGUGCAUAUAUAGUAAAUUUGAUAAUGGAAAGGGUGUUAUAAUUUGCUUAUAUGUAGAUGACAUGCUCAUUUUUGGCACGGAUUUGGAACAAAUAGAAAACACAAAGAAAUUCUUGUCAAACAACUUUGCUAUGAAGGAUAUGGGUGUAGCAGAUGUUAUUCUUGGGAUUAAAAUAACCCGAGAUGAAAGCACUAUAGCUUUAUCACAAUCACAUUACAUUGAAAAUGUGCUUAAAAAGUUUGAUCUUUUCAACUGUAUACCAGCAUCUACACCCAUGGAUCCUCAAUUAAAAUUAGUAUCUAAUGCUGGUAGGAAAAUUGAUCAAUUGAAAUAUGCAAGUCUAAUUGGUUGUCUUAUGUACAUAAUAACUUGUACAAGACCAGAUAUUGCAUAUGCUAUUGGAAAAUUGAGUAGAUACACAAGUAAUCCAAGUAGUUUGCAUUGGCAAGCUUUAAAUAGAGUACUUAGGUACUUAAAGAAAACUAUUAACUAUGGAUUGUGUUAUAAUGGAUAUCCUCCAGUUUUAGAAGGGUAUUCGGAUGCUAGUUGGAUUACAAGUUUGGAAGAUCAUGCAUCUACUAGUGGGUGGAUCUUCAUUCUUGGUGGAGGAGUCAUUUCUUGGGGUUCCAAGAAACAAACAUGUAUUACUGAUUCCACCAUGGCAGCAGAAUUUAUUGCAUUAGCCGCUGCAUCUAAAGAAGCAGAAUGGUUAAGAAAUUUGCUUUAUGAUGUACCUUUAUGGCUUAAGCCAAUUUCACCUAUUUCUAUCCGUUGUGAUAGUGAGGCUACUCUAGCAAAGGCAUAUAGCCAAGUAUAUAAUGGAAAGUCUAGACACAUUGGAUUAAGACAUAGUUAUGUCCGACAAUUAAUCUCUGAUGGAGUGAUCACUAUUAAUUAUGUGAGGUCAAGUGAAAAUUUGGCAGAUCCUUUGACAAAAAGUCUUGCUAGAGAUGCAGUAAAAAGGACCUCAAAAGGGAUGGGACUCAAGCCUAUUAAUUAGAGUCACCCAUGAUGGAAACUCGACUCAACGCUUGGUAUAACGUCAAGUCUUGAGUUCAAUGAGACAAAGUACAUCAUUAGUAUGUGACUGUUAGCACUAUAAAUAAAUCCAUCCUAAGAUUAAAGUGCUAGGUACCCGUAAUGAUAAGGGAAGGAUGAGUAAUGUACUCUUAAUGGACCCAUAACAUAAAUAUGUUAGAGUGUUAUAAUUACGGGAACACUUUUGAUGGGAUCUACCUAUGUGAGUGGAAGUGUGGCCGCUUCUAGGAGCUUAAGGGCUUGGCUCUGAUAGCACUCAUGAAAAGAGGACAUAGGCACAUGGCUAUAAUAGUGUCCCUAGAUACUAUGCAUUGACUGAUGUUGAAAUCAUUGUGUGAGAUGUGUUCAGUUAAUCAAAUGAAAUAGUUGGUUCAAAGCUUAGUCUACCAUACAAUUUCGAUUAACUUUAACAUGUUUUCACUAAGUGAAGGUUCAAUCGUAAGACACCUUUAUUUAUGCAAAUUGAUUUCCAAGAAUAUCAAAAUCUAAAUAUUUUGAAAAUGGGGGGAGAUUGUUGGAAUAUUUUCAAAUAUUUAUAGUAUCCCAAUAACUAUAAAUGAAUGGGUGUAAUUAAUCAAAAGAUAAAACUUUUGGUCAUUGGUCAAAAGUUAUAUCAUUUGAUUUUUUAAAAAAGAAUUAUAACUAUUCAAAAAAUAUUAUUUGAAUAGUUACAAAAUUAAAUGAAUAAUUAUUAUUAUUUAUUUAUUCAUAAAGACACCUAUUGAAAGAUGUCUCUAUGAAGAGACAUGAAAAUUCCUAUAAAUAGGAAUGAGAUUUCAUUUGGAAAUCAUAUCAACAAAUUCUAAUAUUAUUUCUUCUCUUCCUUCAUUUUCUAAUAUUAUUAGAUUAUUCUAUAAAGUAUUGCUGCAGAAAUCCUUUAUAGAAAUUGAGUUUUUGUUAUAAAUUACUCAGUGCAUAGUGGACUAUUCUCGUCAGUGCAAAACGCAAAUAGUCAUUGGCUUCAUUGUAUCCUCGAGGUUAAUUUGCUUGGAACUCGUUUGCACACUGAAGAUAAGUGGGGCGAAUAUAACCUUAAAGAUAGUGGCUUGAUACACACCUUGGAGCCUGUCCUAUUUCUUCUUUUUCUUUUCGAGUUCCGAUCGUGUGUUCGAGUUUUUU